This 232-nucleotide ribosomal RNA is filed under the name uncultured bacterium. Its description in RNAcentral is "partial 16S ribosomal RNA". It matches the Rfam family "Bacterial small subunit ribosomal RNA", at positions 14 to 238 of the family's 1533-position model. The record is from RNAcentral.
UGAUCCUGGCUCAGGACGAACGCUGGCGGCGUGCCUAAUACAUGCAAGUAGAACGCUGAAGGAGGAGCUUGCUUCUCUGGAUGAGUUGCGAACGGGUGAGUAACGCGUAGGUAACCUGCCUGGUAGCGGGGGAUAACUAUUGGAAACGAUAGCUAAUACCGCAUAACAGUAGAUGUUGCAUGACAUUUGCUUAAAAGGUGCAAUUGCAUCACUACCAGAUGGACCUGCGUUG